RNAcentral lists this transfer RNA (77 nucleotides) under Polyangiaceae bacterium. RNAcentral describes it as "tRNA-Arg". It matches the Rfam family "tRNA". From Rfam's summary of the family: Transfer RNA (tRNA) molecules are approximately 80 nucleotides in length. Their secondary structure includes four short double-helical elements and three loops (D, anti-codon, and T loops). Lineage: Bacteria; Pseudomonadati; Myxococcota; Polyangiales; Polyangiaceae. The record is from RNAcentral.
GCGCCCCUAGCUCAGCUGGAUAGAGCUUCGGACUUCGGAUCCGACGGUCGUAGGUUCGAAUCCUACGGGGCGCGCCA